This 524-nucleotide ribosomal RNA is filed under the name uncultured bacterium. Its description in RNAcentral is "partial 16S ribosomal RNA". It matches the Rfam family "Bacterial small subunit ribosomal RNA", at positions 28 to 523 of the family's 1533-position model. The record is from RNAcentral.
GACGAACGCUGGCGGCGUGCCUAAUACAUGCAAGUCGAACGCUUCUUUUUCCACCGGAGCUUGCUCCACCGGAAAAAGAGGAGUGGCGAACGGGUGAGUAACACGUGGGUAACCUGCCCAUCAGAAGGGGAUAACACUUGGAAACAGGUGCUAAUACCGUAUAACAAUCGAAACCGCAUGGUUUUGAUUUGAAAGGCGCUUUCGGGUGUCGCUGAUGGAUGGACCCGCGGUGCAUUAGCUAGUUGGUGAGGUAACGGCUCACCAAGGCCACGAUGCAUAGCCGACCUGAGAGGGUGAUCGGCCACAUUGGGACUGAGACACGGCCCAAACUCCUACGGGAGGCAGCAGUAGGGAAUCUUCGGCAAUGGACGAAAGUCUGACCGAGCAACGCCGCGUGAGUGAAGAAGGUUUUCGGAUCGUAAAACUCUGUUGUUAGAGAAGAACAAGUACGAGAGUAACUGCUCGUACCUUGACGGUACCUAACCAGAAAGCCACGGCUAACUACGUGCCAGCAGCCGCGGUAA